UAUGUGUGGCAGGGAUAAACGCUGACAGCUUCUAAGCGUGAAGCCCCCCUCAAGAUGAGAUUUCCCAUUUCUUCGGAAAGUAAGAUCCCUGAAAGAUGAUCAGGUAGAUAGGUUUGGAGUGGAAGUGUAGCGAUACAUGGAGCGGACAAAUACUAAUCGAUCGAGGACUUAACCAAAA
RNAcentral lists this ribosomal RNA (178 nucleotides) under Listeria innocua. RNAcentral's name for it is "partial 23S ribosomal RNA". It matches the Rfam family "Bacterial large subunit ribosomal RNA", at positions 2750 to 2925 of the family's 2925-position model. The record is from RNAcentral. Lineage: Bacteria; Bacillati; Bacillota; Bacilli; Caryophanales; Listeriaceae.